AUUGAACGCUGGCGGCAUGCCUUACACAUGCAAGUCGAACGGUAACACGGGGGCGAACCCUGGCGACGAGUGGCGAACGGGUGAGUAAUACAUCGGAACGUGUCCUGUUGUGGGGGAGUAACCCAUCGAAAGGUGAGCUAAUACCGCAUGAUCUGGAGACAGCAAAGCAGGGGACCGGGUAACGGCCUUGCGCGAUUGGAGCGGCCGAUGUCCGAUUAGCUAGUUGGUGGGGUAAAGGCCCACCAAGGCAACGAUCGGUAGCUGGUCUGAGAGGAUGAUCAGCCACACUGGGACUGAGACACGGCCCAGACUCCUACGGGAGGCAGCAGUGGGGAAUUUUGGACAAUGGGGGCAACCCUGAUCCAGCCAUGCCGCGUGAGUGAAGAAGGCCUGGUGUAAG
Molecule: ribosomal RNA, 400 nt
Filed under: uncultured bacterium
Lineage: Bacteria
Description: bacterial SSU rRNA
Rfam family: Bacterial small subunit ribosomal RNA
Source: RNAcentral